RNAcentral lists this long non-coding RNA (825 nucleotides) under Homo sapiens (human). Its description in RNAcentral is "non-protein coding RAB30-AS1:15". The record is from RNAcentral. Lineage: Eukaryota; Metazoa; Chordata; Mammalia; Primates; Hominidae.
UUCCGCGGAGCCGGGCAGAGGUUUUAGGGGUGCGCAGGAGUCAAGUGGUGGUUCAGUGGGGACGGAAUGAUUAACAAAGGCGUCCGAAGAAAUCGUUGUUGGAAGGUGACCAAGGUGGAAAGAGACGUUGCUUUGGCCCUGCAAGUAAGAAGAGAGAGGGAAUAGCCUGAAGGAGUAACACUAAAUUUAAAAUGACACUUUUUUACCAACCAGCGAAAGCAGAUGUUCAAAGGGGAUAUUGGCCAGGUGCGGUCGCUCACGCCUUUAAUCCCAGCACUUUGGGGGCAGACGCGGGGAGAUAGCGUGAUUCUAGGAGUUCAACCCCAGCCUGGGCAACAUGCGGAGACCCCGUACCGUCUCUACAAAAACAUUAAACAAAAAAAUUAGCUGGGCAUGGUGGUGUACCCCUGUAGUUGCAGCUACACUAGAGGCUGAGGUGGGAGGAUCGCUUGAGCCCGGGAUGUUGAGGCUGCAGUGAGCCUCGAUCCUACCACUGUGCUCCAGCCUGGGCGACAGCAAGCCCGUGUCUCAGAAAAGGCGGGAGGGGUGGGAUAUUAUUGAUGAUAGGCCUUCUGACGUCUGGCAAUAGAUUCCAGAGUAACAUCGGUCAUGGAUAAAUUUUUUUUUUAACUAAGUGACUGAAACCAAAGUUAAUUGUCUUUUGAGUGAUUUUGCACAGUAUCUCAAAAUGAACUGUACUUUUUUUCUUGUGUCACUGAAACAGUGCUGUGUGUUCUUUUUCAGAGUCUGUCACACUAAGAUGAGAAAUGUCCUUUCUUCCUGAAGGUGUCUGAUGUGUAAAAAUAUGAUAUACUUUGUGCUGUU